AAAAAAGGUAAGCUACUAAGAGCGAAUGGUGGAUGCCUUGACUGGUAAAGGCGAUGAAGGACGUACUAGACUGCGAUAAGCUACGGGGAGCUGUCAAGAAGCUUUGAUCCGUAGAUUUCCGAAUGGGGCAACCCAAUGUAUAGAGAUAUACAUUACCUAUAUAGGAGCGAACGAGGGGAAUUGAAACAUCUUAGUACCCUCAGGAAAAGAAAUCAAUAGAGAUUGCGUCAGUAGCGGCGAGCGAAAGCGCAAGAGGGCAAACCCAGUGCUUGCACUGGGGGUUGUAGGACUGCAAUGUGCAAGAGCUGAGUUUAGCAGAACAUUCUGGAAAGUAUAGCCAUAGAGGGUGAUAGUCCCGUAUGCGAAAAACAAAGCUUAGCUAGCAGUAUCCUGAGUAGGGCGGGACACGAGGAAUCCUGUCUGAAUCCGGGUCGACCACGAUCCAACCCUAAAUACUAAUACCAGAUCGAUAGUGCACAAGUACCGUGAGGGAAAGGUGAAAAGAACUGAGGUGAUCAGAGUGAAAUAGAACCUGAAACCAUUUGCUUACAAUCAUUCAGAGCACUAUGUAGCAAUACAGUGUGAUGGACUGCCUUUUGCAUAAUGAGCCUGCGAGUUGUGGUGUCUGGCAAGGUUAAGCAAACGCGAAGCCGUAGCGAAAGCGAGUCUGAAUAGGGCGCUUAGUCAGAUGCUGCAGACCCGAAACGAAGUGAUCUAUCCAUGAGCAAGUUGAAGCUAGUGUAAGAACUAGUGGAGGACUGAACCCAUAGGCGUUGAAAAGCCCCGGGAUGACUUGUGGAUAGGGGUGAAAGGCCAAUCAAACUUCGUGAUAGCUGGUUCUCUCCGAAAUAUAUUUAGGUAUAGCGUUGUGUCGUAAUAUAAGGGGGUAGAGCACUGAAUGGGCUAGGGCAUACACCAAUGUACCAAACCCUAUCAAACUCCGAAUACCUUAUAUGUAAUCACAGCAGUCAGGCGGCGAGUGAUAAAAUCCGUCGUCAAGAGGGAAACAACCCAGACUACCAGCUAAGGUCCCUAAAUCUUACUUAAGUGGAAAACGAUGUGAAGUUACUUAAACAACCAGGAGGUUGGCUUAGAAGCAGCCAUCCUUUAAAGAAAGCGUAAUAGCUCACUGGUCUAGUGAUUUUGCGCGGAAAAUAUAACGGGGCUAAAGUAAGUACCGAAGCUGUAGACUUGCACACAACUUAGAUUAUUUAAGUUUAGAAUAUGAGAAACUAAGUUAUAUGUUUAGUUAUAUUUUUACUGAUUUUUAUAGAGUAAAGAUAGAAAUAAAACUUAGUAAAAUCAGUAAAAAUAUUCUUAGACUAAAGUUAAGUAGUUUAAGUUGUGUGCAAGUGGUAGGAGAGCGUUCUAUUUGCGUCGAAGGUAUACCGGUAAGGAGUGCUGGAGCGAAUAGAAGUGAGCAUGCAGGCAUGAGUAGCGAUAAUUAAUGUGAGAAUCAUUAACGCCGUAAACCCAAGGUUUCCUACGCGAUGCUCGUCAUCGUAGGGUUAGUCGGGUCCUAAGUCGAGUCCGAAAGGGGUAGACGAUGGCAAAUUGGUUAAUAUUCCAAUACCAACAUUAGUGUGCGAUGGAAGGACGCUUAGGGCUAAGGGGGCUAGCGGAUGGAAGUGCUAGUCUAAGGUCGUAGGAGGUUGUACAGGCAAAUCCGUAUAACAAUACUCCGAGAACUGAAAGGCUUUUUGAAGUCUUCGGAUGGAUAGAAGAACCCCUGAUGCCGUCGAGCCAAGAAAAGUUUCUAAGUUUAGCUAAUGUUGCCCGUACCGUAAACCGACACAGGUGGGUGGGAUGAGUAUUCUAAGGCGCGUGGAAGAACUCUCUUUAAGGAACUCUGCAAAAUAGCACCGUAUCUUCGGUAUAAGGUGUGGUUAGCUUUGUAUUAGGAUUUACUCCGAAAGCAAGGAAACUUACAACAAAGAGUCCCUCCCGACUGUUUACCAAAAACACAGCACUCUGCUAACUCGUAAGAGGAUGUAUAGGGUGUGACGCCUGCCCGGUGCUCGAAGGUUAAUUGAUGGGGUUAGCAUUAGCGAAGCUCUUGAUCGAAGCCCGAGUAAACGGCGGCCGUAACUAUAACGGUCCUAAGGUAGCGAAAUUCCUUGUCGGUUAAAUACCGACCUGCAUGAAUGGCGUAACGAGAUGGGAGCUGUCUCAAAGAGGGAUCCAGUGAAAUUGUAGUGGAGGUGAAAAUUCCUCCUACCCGCGGCAAGACGGAAAGACCCCGUGGACCUUUACUACAGCUUGACACUGCUACUUGGAUAAGAAUGUGCAGGAUAGGUGGGAGGCUUUGAGUAUAUGACGCCAGUUGUAUAUGAGCCAUUGUUGAGAUACCACUCUUUCUUAUUUGGGUAGCUAACCAGCUUGAGUUAUCCUCAAGUGGGACAAUGUCUGGUGGGUAGUUUGACUGGGGCGGUCGCCUCCCAAAUAAUAACGGAGGCUUACAAAGGUUGGCUCAGAACGGUUGGAAAUCGUUCGUAGAGUAUAAAGGUAUAAGCCAGCUUAACUGCAAGACAUACAAGUCAAGCAGAGACGAAAGUCGGUCUUAGUGAUCCGGUGGUUCUGUGUGGAAGGGCCAUCGCUCAAAGGAUAAAAGGUACCCCGGGGAUAACAGGCUGAUCUCCCCCAAGAGCUCACAUCGACGGGGAGGUUUGGCACCUCGAUGUCGGCUCAUCGCAUCCUGGGGCUGGAGCAGGUCCCAAGGGUAUGGCUGUUCGCCAUUUAAAGCGGUACGCGAGCUGGGUUCAGAACGUCGUGAGACAGUUCGGUCCCUAUCUGCCGUGGGCGUAAGAAGAUUGAAGAGAUUUGACCCUAGUACGAGAGGACCGGGUUGAACAAACCACUGGUGUAGCUGUUGUUCUGCCAAGAGCAUCGCAGCGUAGCUAAGUUUGGAAAGGAUAAACGCUGAAAGCAUCUAAGCGUGAAGCCAACUCUAAGAUGAAUCUUCUCUAAGCUCUCUAGAAGACUACUAGUUUGAUAGGCUGGGUGUGUAAUGGAUGAAAGUCCUUUAGCUGACCAGUACUAAUAGAGCGUUUGGCUUAUCUUUAAUAAAGCAU
RNAcentral lists this ribosomal RNA (3071 nucleotides) under Campylobacter jejuni. RNAcentral describes it as "23S ribosomal RNA". It matches the Rfam family "Bacterial large subunit ribosomal RNA". The record is from RNAcentral. Lineage: Bacteria; Pseudomonadati; Campylobacterota; Epsilonproteobacteria; Campylobacterales; Campylobacteraceae.